GUUGACCUCGGAUCAGGUAGGAAUACCCGCUGAACUUAAGCAUAUCAAUAAGCGGAGGAAAAGAAACCAACAGGGAUUGCCUCAGUAACGGCGAGUGAAGCGGCAACAGCUCAAAUUUGAAAUCUGGCCCCCCGGGUCCGAGUUGUAAUUUGCAGAGGAUGCUUUUGGCGCGGUGCCUUCCGAGUUCCCUGGAACGGGACGCCAUAGAGGGUGAGAGCCCCGUACGGUUGGACACCAAGCCUGUGUAAAGCUCCUUCGACGAGUCGAGUAGUUUGGGAAUGCUGCUCAAAAUGGGAGGUAUAUUUCUUCUAAAGCUAAAUACCGGCCAGAGACCGAUAGCGCACAAGUAGAGUGAUCGAAAGAUGAAAAGCACUUUGAAAAGAGGGUUAAACAGCACGUGAAAUUGUUAAAAGGGAAGCGCUUGUGACCAGACUUGCGCCCGGUGAAUCACCCAGCUCUCGCGGCUGGGGCACUUUGCCGGCUCAGGCCAGCAUCAGCUCGCCGUCGGGGACAAAAGCUUCGGGAACGUAGCUCUCUUCGGGGAGUGUUAUAGCCCGCUGCACAAUACCCUUCGGCGGGCUGAGGUACGCGCUCCGCAAGGAUGCUGGCGUAAUGGUCAUCAGCGACCCGUCUUGAAACACGGACCAAGGAGUCAACCUUAUGUGCGAGUGUUCGGGUGUCAAACCCCUACGCGAAAUGAAAGUGAACGCAGGUGAGAGCUUCGGCGCAUCAUCGACCGAUCCUGAUGUUCUCGGAUGGAUUUGAGUAAGAGCAUAUAGGGUUGGACCCGAAAGAAGGUGAACUAUGCGUGUAUAGGGUGAAGCCAGAGGAAACUCUGGUGGAGGCUCGCAGCGGUUCUGACGUGCAAAUCGAUCGUCAAAUAUGCGCAUGGGGG
This 895-nucleotide ribosomal RNA is filed under the name Colletotrichum sp. AR3749. Its description in RNAcentral is "eukaryotic LSU rRNA". It matches the Rfam family "Eukaryotic large subunit ribosomal RNA", at positions 1 to 923 of the family's 3401-position model. The record is from RNAcentral. Lineage: Eukaryota; Fungi; Ascomycota; Sordariomycetes; Glomerellales; Glomerellaceae.